GAGGAUUGCUUGAGCAUGGAAGGCCGAAG
RNAcentral lists this non-coding RNA (29 nucleotides) under Homo sapiens (human). Lineage: Eukaryota; Metazoa; Chordata; Mammalia; Primates; Hominidae. The record is from RNAcentral.